Non-coding RNA from Aedes albopictus (Asian tiger mosquito), 118 nucleotides. The record is from Rfam. Lineage: Eukaryota; Metazoa; Arthropoda; Insecta; Diptera; Culicidae.
UGCCUAGCAACUCCUAUCCCUACCUCCUCGUGGCACCGACCGGAAACUAUGAGCAACCUUAGGGAAGAUCACGUAACCAAACUUGGUGGGAACUUUGGUCGUAGGCUGACAGGGAAGG